Molecule: long non-coding RNA, 521 nt
Organism: Populus trichocarpa (black cottonwood)
Lineage: Eukaryota; Viridiplantae; Streptophyta; Magnoliopsida; Malpighiales; Salicaceae
Exons: 2
Source: RefSeq, a predicted model, not a curated record
UUAUAACUCCACAUUAGCAGUCCACGUCAGCAGUCCUAAACACAUCUUCUAACAGUUACAUUGCCCCAGAAUAUGCUCACACAUUGAUGCUAGGGAGGCAUCAGUGAAUUCUCCAUCAGAAUCCCCUCAGAUGAAGACACCUGCCUAAUAAGUUUAGAAAUGCAUUUUUCUUUUCCUUUGUUUUCUCAUUUGAAAACAUUAUGCACGAGGCCCAUGCUUCCAUUACUAAAAUGAUUGGUUAAGGUGACAAAAGUUCAAGGUUUUUGCAGAUUGAAUACAAGGUAAGGGAUUUAUUUAAUCCUACAGAGACUACUUGCAGUUUGAAGACCUUCUUCUGCAAUUCAUGUGUUGAUCCUGUGAGCUCAUUACUUGGAUAUAUAUAUAUAUAAUUCCUGACACAGUUUAUAUUCUCUCAUUUGCUUAUGCUAAUACUUUUAUCCUCCCUCAACUGGAUAUUGGAAUAUUAAUCCCUGUCAGAAAAUUAAGCCUCGCUGAAUUGGUAUAAUUAACUUAAAAUUACA